AUUGAACGCUGGCGGCGUGCUUAACACAUGCAAGUCGAACGAGAACGGAUUAUAGCUUGCUAUAAUUGUCAGCUAAGUGGCGCACGGGUGAGUAAUGUAUAGGUAAUAUGCCUCUUACUAAGGGAUAACAAAUGGAAACGUUUGCUAAUACCUUAUACUCCUUUUAAACAGAAGUUUAAAAGGGAAAGAUUUAUUGGUAAGAGAUUAGCCUGUAUUGUAUCAGUUAGUUGGUGGGGUAAUGGCUUACCAAGACUAUGACACAUAACUGGUUUGAGAGGAUGAUCAGUCACACUGGAACUGGGACACGGUCCAGACUCCUACGGGAGGCAGCAGUGGGGAAUAUUGCACAAUGGACGAAAGUCUGAUGCAGCAACGCCGCGUGGAGGAUGACACAUUUCGGUGCGUAAACUCCUUUUAUAUGAGAAGAUAAUGACGGUAUUAUAUGAAUAAGCACCGGCUAACUCCGUGCCAGCCGCCGCAGUAA
This 484-nucleotide ribosomal RNA is filed under the name uncultured bacterium. RNAcentral describes it as "partial 16S ribosomal RNA". It matches the Rfam family "Bacterial small subunit ribosomal RNA", at positions 30 to 523 of the family's 1533-position model. The record is from RNAcentral.